RNAcentral lists this ribosomal RNA (373 nucleotides) under uncultured organism. RNAcentral describes it as "bacterial SSU rRNA". It matches the Rfam family "Bacterial small subunit ribosomal RNA", at positions 526 to 896 of the family's 1533-position model. The record is from RNAcentral.
CGUAGGUGGCAAGCGUUGUCCGGAUUUACUGGGCGUAAAGAGCGCGCAGGCGGUCGUUCAAGUCGCGUGUGAAAGCCCCCGGCUCAACUGGGGAGGGUCACGCGAUACUGAUCGACUCGAAGGCAGGAGAGGGAAGUGGAAUUCCCGGUGUAGUGGUGAAAUGCGUAGAUAUCGGGAGGAACGCCAGUGGCGAAGGCGACUUCCUGGCCUGUUCUUGACGCUGAGGCGCGAAAGCUAGGGGGAGCAAACGGGAUUAGAUACCCCGGUAGUCCUAGCCGUAAACGAUGGACACUAGGUGUUGGUGGUAUCAACCCCGCCAGUGCCGUAGCUAACGCAUUAAGUGUCCCGCCUGGGGAGUACGGCCGCAAGGCUA